CUCUGGGAACAAAAAUGUAUGGUUCCCCAUAUCCUUGUGCAGUGCUGCUAGAAUUCAACAUGAUUCUUCACUAGACAUUUUGUCCAUACCACUGGACAGGAAGAUUUGUAAGAGAUAACUUUUCUUUCAGCAUCCAUUUUCCUAGUAGCAUUCCCACUCUUUUCAAAACUUUUGUUUUGGAUUGCUACUUCUGUGUUAUUGAUAUUGAACAUGAAAAAGGUAAAUGAGCAGCUUGAUUAAUUCAGAACAAUUCAGGAUUUUGUAGUAUAUUUUUCUAAUACUUGUUCCCUUUGGCUCAGCUGCCAAACAGCAGCAGGGGCUCACAUAUAUAAAAAAGUAGCUUUCCACAGGAUUCAAUACCAGAUUGGAGGUAGAAUUUAUUGGUAGAUUUCAGGAGUAUAGCCUCAGGAACUACAUUUAAGAAAUAUAGCUUAUCUGUCCAGUAUUCUUAAAAAUAACAUAUGUACAUAUUUUAACUGGUGGAUUAUUUGGAUUAAGUUUUCCAUCGUAGAGCCUGAGUUAUAAGUAAUAUAGGAAGACAGAAGAGAAACCAGUAUGAAAGAUCAAGAGGCAAUUAAAGUACAAGAUUUCAAUAAGAUACUGAAAAUGAGCCAAGAAAAAAUUGAAAUACUUAAAAGUGAGUUGUCAGAAGAGAGGGAAAGGAGAAAGCAAUUGACACCUGAUCUUAACACUGUACAGAAGGCUUUGAAAAUUGAAAGUGAGGUAUUUGACAUUUUGCCAUUCAGGAUAUUCUUUUUCUCUAUUGAAUGCCUAAAUUAGGGAUACCACGUAACUAUUUAUUUUGACUUUAAAAUAAAUUGAA
RNAcentral lists this long non-coding RNA (823 nucleotides) under Dasypus novemcinctus (nine-banded armadillo). RNAcentral's name for it is "lncRNA (ENSDNOG00000051569.1)". Lineage: Eukaryota; Metazoa; Chordata; Mammalia; Cingulata; Dasypodidae. The record is from RNAcentral.